Molecule: small nucleolar RNA, 133 nt
Organism: Trichechus manatus latirostris (Florida manatee)
Lineage: Eukaryota; Metazoa; Chordata; Mammalia; Sirenia; Trichechidae
Product: small nucleolar RNA SNORA31
Exons: 1
Source: RefSeq, a predicted model, not a curated record
UUGCAUCUAUUUGACAGGCCUGGAGCAGUUAAUGUCUGCUUCUAAGGCUUCCACUAUAGAUACAAGAAGAAAGUUCCUCCUGCUUUCUUUCUGUCUGCUUGUGGCAGCCAAGAUUGAAUGGAGAAAUAUAGGA